This 126-nucleotide unclassified non-coding RNA is filed under the name uncultured fungus. RNAcentral describes it as "sequence contains ITS1". The record is from RNAcentral. Lineage: Eukaryota; Fungi.
UAAUGCGAGAAGGUUCGCCAAAAGCGCGUGGAUGACCCGGAAAUUCAAUGACCGAAAGGGCGUUAAUUUGCCCGAUGCGUUCGCCUUCGGUUUCAAUCAGGAUUUGCUCCUGAAGGAUCUCAUCCU